CCUACGGGUGGCAGCAGUGGUGAAUAUUGGGCAAUGGAGGAAACUCUGACCCAGCAAUGCCGCGUGAAUGAAGAAGGUCUUCGGAGUGUAAAGUUCUUUAGUCAGGGAAGUAUAAAAUGACGGUACCUGAAGAAUAAGCUCCGUCUAACUACGUGCCAGCAGCCGCGGUAAUACGUAGGGAGCAAGCGUUGUUCGGAAUGACUGGGUGUAAAGGGUGCGUAGGCGGUUAUACAAGUUAGAAGGGAAAAAGCCAGGGCUUAACUCGGGUGCUGCUACUAAAACUGUAAGACUUGAGUGCAGUAGAGGUUAGUGGAAUUCCUAGUGUAGCGGUGAAAUGCGUAGAUAUUAGGAAGAACACCAGAGGCGAAGGCAGCUAACUGGACUGCAACUGACGCUGAGGCACGAAAGUGUGGGGAGCAAACAGGAUUAGAUACCCCGGUAGUC
RNAcentral lists this ribosomal RNA (444 nucleotides) under uncultured bacterium. Its description in RNAcentral is "partial 16S ribosomal RNA". It matches the Rfam family "Bacterial small subunit ribosomal RNA", at positions 338 to 795 of the family's 1533-position model. The record is from RNAcentral.